This 253-nucleotide ribosomal RNA is filed under the name uncultured bacterium. Its description in RNAcentral is "partial 16S ribosomal RNA". It matches the Rfam family "Bacterial small subunit ribosomal RNA", at positions 524 to 776 of the family's 1533-position model. The record is from RNAcentral.
GACGAACCGUCCUAACGUUGUUCGGAAUCACUGGGCUUAAAGGGCGCGUAGGCGGGCACGCAAGUCUGGGGUGAAAUCUUUCGGCUUAACCGGAAAACAGCCUUGGAAACUGCGUGUCUGGAGGGAGGUAGGGGCAUGUGGAACUUCCGGUGGAGCGGUGAAAUGCGUUGAUAUCGGAAGGAACGCCGGUGGCGAAAGCGACGUGCUGGACCUCUUCUGACGCUGAGGCGCGAAAGCCAGGGGAGCAAACGGG